This 1116-nucleotide long non-coding RNA is filed under the name Homo sapiens (human). Its description in RNAcentral is "non-protein coding lnc-SOX5-5:20". Lineage: Eukaryota; Metazoa; Chordata; Mammalia; Primates; Hominidae. The record is from RNAcentral.
ACACACACACAGAGUGAAAAAGGCGAGCCACCAAAACCCAUCUCCAGUCUCCUCCCGGGGGCCCCCAGCCCGCCUCUGUGCCACUUUGCAUCCCACGCCGGAGGAGGCAUUAACGAGACCGGGUAAGGCUUUUUAAACGGUCCAAGGUGUAGAGCCAUACUUCAGGAGGAUCCUCAGAAGUUUUGGACAAGCCUCCCCAAAUGUGGCAGGUGCUGUGCUGGCCAUUGGUGACCCAAAGAUGAUGAAAAAUAUGUUCCUGCCCACAAGGAGUUAGCGACCUACUGGGCUUUCCUCUUGCUGAUGACAUGAUUCCUGUUUGAAUCUGUUGACAAGAUUCUGAAAGCUGAACAGAGAAUUCUGGCACUGCACUGGCAUUUCAAGAAAUAGAUAAUAUCAAGGACAUCAGGACACCGGGAGUGGGAGAGAUUGGACUGGGAGACUCAGCAGGAUGUCUUCCAAGCGACCAGCCUCUCCGUAUGGGGAAGCAGAUGGAGAGGUAGCCAUGGUGACAAGCAGACAGAAAGUGGAAGAAGAGGAGAGUGACGGGCUCCCAGCCUUUCACCUUCCCUUGCAUGAAGUUGAUGGCAAUAAAGUUAUGUCUUCAUUUGCCCCACACAACUCAUCUACCUCACCUCAGAAGGCAGAAGAAGGUGGGCGACAGAGUGGCGAGUCCUUGUCUAGUACAGCCCUGGGAACUCCUGAACGGCGCAAGGGCAGUUUAGCUGAUGUUGUUGACACCUUGAAGCAGAGGAAAAUGGAAGAGCUCAUCAAAAACGAGCCGGAAGAAACCCCCAGUAUUGAAAAACUACUCUCAAAGGACUGGAAAGACAAGCUUCUUGCAAUGGGAUCGGGGAACUUUGGCGAAAUAAAAGGGACUCCCGAGAGCUUAGCUGAGAAAGAAAGGCAACUCAUGGGUAUGAUCAACCAGCUGACCAGCCUCCGAGAGCAGCUGUUGGCUGCCCACGAUGAGCAGAAGAAACUAGCUGCCUCUCAGAUUGAGAAACAGCGUCAGCAAAUGGAGCUGGCCAAGCAGCAACAAGAACAAAUUGCAAGACAGCAGCAGCAGCUUCUACAGCAACAACACAAAAUCAAUUUGCUCCAGCAACAGAUCCAGGU